RNAcentral lists this ribosomal RNA (449 nucleotides) under uncultured bacterium. RNAcentral's name for it is "partial 16S ribosomal RNA". It matches the Rfam family "Bacterial small subunit ribosomal RNA", at positions 29 to 523 of the family's 1533-position model. The record is from RNAcentral.
AACGAACGCUGGCGGCAGGCCUAACACAUGCAAGUCGAACGCUCCAGCAAUGGAGAGUGGCAGACGGGUGAGUAACGCGUGGGAACCUACCCUUUGGUUCGGAAUAGCCCAGGGAAACUUGGGGUAAUACCGGAUAAGCCCUUCGGGGGAAAGAUUUAUCGCCAAUGGAUGGGCCCGCGUCGGAUUAGCUAGUUGGUGGGGUAACGGCCCACCAAGGCGACGAUCCGUAGCUGGUCUGAGAGGAUGAUCAGCCACACUGGGACUGAGACACGGCCCAGACUCCUACGGGAGGCAGCAGUGGGGAAUAUUGGACAAUGGGCGCAAGCCUGAUCCAGCCAUGCCGCGUGAGUGACGAAGGUCUUCGGAUUGUAAAGCUCUUUUGGCGGGGAAGAUAAUGACGGUACCCGCAGAAUAAGCCCCGGCUAACUUCGUGCCAGCCGCCGCGGUAA